RNAcentral lists this ribosomal RNA (1066 nucleotides) under Chlamydia trachomatis. RNAcentral's name for it is "partial 23S ribosomal RNA". It matches the Rfam family "Bacterial large subunit ribosomal RNA", at positions 1761 to 2823 of the family's 2925-position model. Lineage: Bacteria; Pseudomonadati; Chlamydiota; Chlamydiia; Chlamydiales; Chlamydiaceae. The record is from RNAcentral.
UAGGAGCCCCGGGGGGCCGCAGAGAAAUGGCCCAGGCGACUGUUUAGCAAAAACACAGCACUAUGCAAACCUCUAAGGGGAAGUAUAUGGUGUGACGCCUGCCCAAUGCCAAAAGGUUAAAGGGAUAUGUCAGCUGCAAAGCGAAGCAUUGAACCUAAGCCCUGGUGAAUGGCCGCCGUAACUAUAACGGUGCUAAGGUAGCGAAAUUCCUUGUCGGGUAAGUUCCGACCUGCACGAAUGGUGUAACGAUCUGGGCACUGUCUCAACGAAAGACUCGGUGAAAUUGUAGUAGCAGUGAAGAUGCUGUUUACCCGCGAAAGGACGAAAAGACCCCGUGAACCUUUACUGUACUUUGGUAUUGAUUUUUGGUUUGUUAUGUGUAGGAUAGCCAGGAGACUAGGAACACUCUUCUUCAGGAGAGUGGGAGUCAACGUUGAAAUACUGGUCUUAACAAGCUGGGAAUCUAACAUUAUUCCAUGAAUCUGGAAGAUGGACAUUGCCAGACGGGCAGUUUUACUGGGGCGGUAUCCUCCUAAAAAGUAACGGAGGAGCCCAAAGCUUAUUUCAUCGUGGUUGGCAAUCACGAGUAGAGCGUAAAGGUAUAAGAUAGGUUGACUGCAAGACCAACAAGUCGAGCAGAGACGAAAGUCGGGCUUAGUGAUCCGGCGGUGGAAAGUGGAAUCGCCGUCGCUUAACGGAUAAAAGGUACUCCGGGGAUAACAGGCUGAUCGCCACCAAGAGUUCAUAUCGACGUGGCGGUUUGGCACCUCGAUGUCGGCUCAUCGCAUCCUGGGGCUGGAGAAGGUCCCAAGGGUUUGGCUGUUCGCCAAUUAAAGCGGUACGCGAGCUGGGUUCAAAACGUCGUGAGACAGUUUGGUCUCUAUCCUUCGUGGGCGCAGGAUACUUGAGAGGAGCUGUUCCUAGUACGAGAGGAUCGGAAUGGACGAACCAAUGGUGUGUCGGUUGUUUUGCCAAGAGCAUAGCCGAGUAGCUACGUUCGGAAAGGAUAAGCAUUGAAAGCAUCUAAAUGCCAAGCCUCCCUCAAGAUAAGGUAUCCCAAUGAGAC